This is a long non-coding RNA of Lycium barbarum (goji berry), 647 nucleotides long. RefSeq lists it as uncharacterized. Lineage: Eukaryota; Viridiplantae; Streptophyta; Magnoliopsida; Solanales; Solanaceae. The transcript is spliced from 3 exons. The record is from RefSeq and is a predicted model, not a curated record.
AUGGCAUACGGCCAUGCUCUCCAAUUUUUGUCCCUUUGAAAUCUUCUCCCAAAAAUUAUUUUCUAGUGGUAUUCCUACUAAUUCAAGGGUCCUUUACAACUUGGUGUAAUUAUUUUGAAAGAAAGAGCACUUGUUUCUUCAAGUUGACAACUUGGUCAAGUGAAGAAGAUUGUAGAAAAAGAUUUGGCGAACUUGAAACUUGAUUUUGGAGACGUGUAUGAAGCGGAAAAGGUACACCCAAAGGAUGCGAAGUUAGCAUAGAAGAUGUUCCAGCGGAGUUGGUAGGCUCCAUUUGUCCUGGAGUGCUGCCAAGUCAGAGUAUAUGUACUAUGACGCUAUGUUCGAGGUUAGAGACUUUGCAGACAGAGUCGUGGGUAUAGAGUGUCAGCUUUGUAGAUGGCUUCGCCAGUCGAUAUGUUAUUAUAUUUCAUGUCACGGGUCCCACAUGAUGAUAGACUUUACUUAUAAAAAAAAAAAAUUGGAGAGCUUGCUGUGUAUUUGUUUCUUAAUUGAUUCACAAGUUUAUAUGUGUAAUAAGAGUCAGCGGGUUCGCUCGGCUCCGAAUAUGGGGUCGGGUGCCCAUCACACCCUAGUAGGAUCGGGGUGUGACAGUUUGAGUGCUUGAACUUGUAGAGAAAUCUGCGGCC